RNAcentral lists this ribosomal RNA (433 nucleotides) under uncultured bacterium. RNAcentral describes it as "bacterial SSU rRNA". It matches the Rfam family "Bacterial small subunit ribosomal RNA", at positions 29 to 507 of the family's 1533-position model. The record is from RNAcentral.
AACGAACGCUGGCGGCAGGCCUAACACAUGCAAGUCGAGCGGACCCUUCGGGGUUAGCGGCGGACGGGUUAGUAACGCGUGGGAACGUGCCCAAAGGUACGGAAUAGCCUCGGGAAACUGAGAGUAAUACCGUAUAUGCCCCUCGGGGGAAAGAUUUAUCGCCUUUGGAUCGGCCCGCGUUGGAUUAGGUAGUUGGUGGGGUAAUGGCCUACCAAGCCGACGAUCCAUAGCUGGUUUGAGAGGAUGAUCAGCAACACUGGGACUGAGACACGGCCCAGACUCCUACGGGAGGCAGCAGUGGGGAAUCUUAGACAAUGGGGGAAACCCCGAUCUAGCCAUGCCGCGUGGACGAUGAAGGCCUUAGGGUUGUAAAGUCCUUUUAAGAGGGAAGAUAAUGACGGUACCUCUUGAAUAAGCACCGGCUAACUCCGUG